UCUUCAAAUAUGAGAAGAGACGUCUAUCAAUUACUGUCAAUUGUCAUUGUCUGAUGAUCUUUGUUAUGUUUGGUUAUGUUGUUGACAACUUUUGAUAGGAUAAGGAUAUUUUAAACACAUUUUAAAAGAAAAACAACCUUAGUAGUUAGUAGAAAGGAAAGCAAUUUUAGAUUCCAACCGUAUUAUUACUUGUGAAAUAUUAUCAUCUAGUGGGAAAACCGCAGUGAUUGUGCCUUCAAACGGGCAAUUUGAAAGGACAACCCCACCAAAAACCAUUAUAAUUGUAAAUUGAAAUGAUUGAUAUUAAAAAUGUUUGUACCUAUGUAAUUGUACAUGUAAAGCUGGAAAUUCAGGCAUACCAUGGACAAUUUGAAAAAAUUAAGCACCACAGACAUCAAACAACAGUGGGGAUAAUUUAAAAAACAAUAAUACAACAUAGUCAACAAUAAAGUCCUACCAGUCUGCUGAUAAAUGGGCUACUGAUAUUGUACUAAAUUAUGAUUUAGCUCUAUUUUACUCAAAUAAUGUUGAAGUAAGCUGCAGUAACUCUGUUGAAAUAUCUUUAGCUAUGCUAAACCAAACUGGAGAAGCAUGAAAAAAGCUGACGUGACUGCAAGUAACUGGGACAAUUUAUUGCCAUUUAUUUACUUAUGAUAAAAAUAAAAGCCUAAGUUGGCCACUUAAAGUCAA
This is a long non-coding RNA of Diabrotica virgifera virgifera (western corn rootworm), 690 nucleotides long. RefSeq lists it as uncharacterized. NCBI's taxonomy places the organism in Eukaryota, Metazoa, Arthropoda, Insecta, Coleoptera, Chrysomelidae. The record is from RefSeq and is a predicted model, not a curated record. The transcript is spliced from 2 exons.